CUGCACGCUGCCAACCGCUCCCUCCCUCCGCCUCCACCUCCGUCGUCGGGCGCACCCUGCCCCCUCGCUCUGGACCUCCCUAAGAAGCGGAUCCACAACCUGCGUUCUGCCAUCGGGCCCGCAGUCCCCGCCGCCAAGCACAGCCGUCCUGCAGUCCCGCAAUUCCGCCGCGCCCGCAUUCACCGCGACAUCGCGACCGCAGUCCCCUCCCCGCGCCCGCAGGCAGCCGCCCCGCAGUCCCGCCCCGCCGCCAUCAAUGUCGAUCCGCCCCCACCCUCCUCCAUCGCAGCGAUGUGA
Molecule: unclassified non-coding RNA, 297 nt
Filed under: Zea mays
Lineage: Eukaryota; Viridiplantae; Streptophyta; Magnoliopsida; Poales; Poaceae
Description: misc RNA Zm00001eb095140
Source: RNAcentral